UGGGGAAUAUUGGACAAUGGGCGCAAGCCUGAUCCAGCCAUGCCGCGUGAGUGAUGAAGGCCUUAGGGUUGUAAAGCUCUUUCGGCGGGGAAGAUAAUGACGGUACCCGCAGAAGAAGCCCCGGCUAACUUCGUGCCAGCAGCCGCGGUAAUACGAAGGGGGCUAGCGUUGCUCGGAAUCACUGGGCGUAAAGCGCACGUAGGCGGAUCUUUAAGUCGGGGGUGAAAUCCUGGAGCUCAACUCCAGAACUGCCUUCGAUACUGGGGAUCUUGAGUCCGGGAGAGGUGAGUGGAACUCCGAGUGUAGAGGUGAAAUUCGUAGAUAUUCGGAAGAACACCAGUGGCGAAGGCGGCUCACUGGCCCGGUACUGACGCUGAGGUGCGAAAGCGUGGGGAGCAAACAGGAUUAGAUACCCCCGUAGUCC
This 424-nucleotide ribosomal RNA is filed under the name uncultured bacterium. Its description in RNAcentral is "bacterial SSU rRNA". It matches the Rfam family "Bacterial small subunit ribosomal RNA", at positions 355 to 796 of the family's 1533-position model. The record is from RNAcentral.